ACUGGUGAUUCUGGAAGUCCGUCACCAGUAGCCAGGAGCAACACUUAAAGGGGAACCAAGGUGGAGGACGGAGCUAGUGUACGACGACGUGAAAGCCCAGGAAAUAUCCGCCUGAGGCAUAGACAACUUCAAGGAAGGUGAUGAAGGACUGACCACGUGGUAAUGACGUCACAUGUAAACAAACAAGGUGAACAACACUACUCCAUCAACCAUUAACCAUCUCCCGUCAUCGGUCAUCUAUCUCUCAGCAUCUCCCGUCACCGGUCAUCUAUCUCUCAGCAUCUCCCGUCAUCGGUCAUCUAUCUCUCAGGAUCUCCCGUCAUCGGUCAUCCAUCUCUCAGCAUCUCCCGUCAUCGGUCAUCUAUCUCUCAGCAUCUCCCGUCACCGGUCAUCUAUCUCUCAGCAUCUCCCGUCAUCGGUCAUCUAUCUCUCAGCAUCUCCCGUCAUCGGUCAUCUAUCUCUCAGCAUCUCCCGUCAUCGGUCAUCUAUCUCUCAGCAUCUCCCGUCAUCGGUCAUCUAUCUCUCAGCAUCUCCCGUCAUCGGUAUCACGAGUGUCUCAUAAUACACACCGCCAUAUAGAUUUUAUCAUGAGGAUAGAUUAGUGUAUGUUAAGUAGCUUCAUUUUUAUCACUUGUAAUACACCAUCCAUAUACAACUUAAGUCAAGGUUACUAUUAUACUACAAGCAUUUACAAGGUAGUGGGGUAAACUUUUUCUGAGCCACACUGUUGUUUACUAUAAGCAUUUACAAGGUAGUGGGGUAAACUUUUUCUGAGCCACACUGUUGUUUACUAUAAGCAUUUACAAGAUAGUGGGGUAAACUUUUUCUGAGCCACACUGUUGUUUACUAUAAGCAUUUACAAGGUAGUGGGGUAAACUUUUUCUGAGCCACACUGUUGUUUACUAUAAGCAUUUACAAGAUAGUGGGGUAAACUUUUUUUGAGCCACACUGUUGUUUACUAUAAGCAUUUACAAGGUUGUAGGGUAAACUUUUUUCUGAGCCACACUGUUACUUUUUUUCUGGGCCACAUUGUUGUCUCACUCGAUUGUUCUGAUUUUAUUAAUUUUUAACCAAGUGUAAUUCCUUCACGUAAUUGAACUGUUAUGUUUUUUGUGUCGCAAUAGAUCCUCAGGUGGUAGCUUGUGUGUGUGUCAUCAAUGGAAUUUAAUAUUAAUAAAAUGUUAUUGUGGUGUGAAAUAUGUUUACUUGAUGGUUGUGAUCAGUAUAUGAGAGAGAGAGAGAGAGAGAG
Molecule: long non-coding RNA, 1249 nt
Organism: Homarus americanus (American lobster)
Lineage: Eukaryota; Metazoa; Arthropoda; Malacostraca; Decapoda; Nephropidae
Exons: 3
Source: RefSeq, a predicted model, not a curated record